RNAcentral lists this long non-coding RNA (11818 nucleotides) under Gossypium barbadense (sea-island cotton). Its description in RNAcentral is "long non-coding RNA (GBAR_LNC010989)". Lineage: Eukaryota; Viridiplantae; Streptophyta; Magnoliopsida; Malvales; Malvaceae. The record is from RNAcentral.
CCUGCAAAACUCGCAGCAUUAUCAACAUUCAUGUUAGGAUACAUUUCAAUUCAUGAAAUAUAAAUGAGAGGAGAUGAUAACUAAUUAAUUAAUUAAAAAGCCAUGUUGGCUGCUGACCGUUGUUUGUUUCAGUAAGGUCUCUAGCUGCCACUUCCGAAGAAAUGGAAAGAACAAUCACAGAUAAAACAGCAAGGAUGAGAAAACUCUUGCAAACCGAACCCAUUUUUGAUUUUUGUUUUUUAAAUCAAAGUGAACAAUCCUGGAUAAAAGUGUUUGGAGAGUUAAGAAUGCUUAAACAAAGGCAAUCUACGUCUCUAUUUAUACGCCCCAAUCAUCAACUUAUAUGCAUAGAUAAGAAAAUGUGUGAGCGUAAUUAAACAUAAAGAUUUGCCUGUCGACCACGCAAUGCAGCUGGCAGUUGAAGAGUCGCCAAACUAUUCAACUUGGACUUUGGAAAGUGAUUGGACCAAAAAGUGGAAGUAGCAAAGUUUAUGCCUCUCACUAACGUAACUCUACAUGAAUAUUAUUAAAUCACGAUUUGUGAUGGAUGUGGAAAUGCUCUCAUCUGAAAUUGCUAGUCACAAAACCGGUGAACCUCUAACAUCCGGGAUAGGCUACCAAGAAAAUGAGAUUGAGGGAGGAUGAUCCGCCAAAAACCGUGGUGGUUUAUGAUGGACCUCGUAUGUCCUUUCAACAUAAACUAGUGAAUGGAGAGAUAUAUGUUCUCGCAGGUUUCGAGCAUGGUAUCUGACUGUUGGAGGACGAUAUCAAAAAAAGAUACUAUGAAGGGUGUCCCAUUGAUACGAUUCUCGGAUCGCCUCCACUUCUUGAUAGAAAAAAAAGUGUGAUCAAGACGGUGAUUUUUUUUAAAAAAAAUUGUCACAAAAUAGGUUUUAAUGCUCUUUAAAAUAAUACUUUCGUCUGAUGGAAGCCAUCCUUUAACUUUCAAUUAAUGAAUUUGGAGAACAACUACAUGGCAAAAUUUGCUCCGAUUGAGGAUUAUAAAGUGCUUGCAGGCGGGCUGUGAGUAAUAUUUGAGUAUUGUAUGACGGUUCAGACAUCAUAGUUUCCCGUAUCUAAAGACCGGUGGAAUGGAGAGAUCUACAAGACUUAGGUAACUCAAUAUUAAAUCAUGAUUUGUGUAUUUGUAUACUACUUAUAUAUUUUAUCAUAGGUUAAAUACGCUUUUUAAGUCCUUAUGCUUUUAUUUUGUGGAAUAUAAUUCCUCAUUUUUUUAUUUUAAAAAAUUUAGUCUAUUUAUUUUUUAAAUUUAAAAAUGUAAAUUCAGCCGUUAAUAAUGUUAAGAAUUUUUUAUUAAAUUUAAGUUUUUUAUAAAGUUAUUUUUUAUUGUAUGACUAUUAAUUUUAUUCUAUUUUAAAAUAUUACACGAACAAAUUUAAUAAAAACAAUUUAAUAAAAUUAACAAUUUAAUCCGAAAUUUUUUAAAAAAUAGAAACUAAAAGUAUUUUGAAAACUUGGUGGAUGGAAUGGAAAAAGGAGAAACAGAAAGAAUAUAAUUUUAAGAGCUCCUUGGUACAAUAAAAAAUGGAAUGAAAGAAAAUGAAAGGGAUGAGACUUCUUUCGCACCAUUUGUCCAAAUUGAGGGAAAGAAAAGUUUUAAAUUAUGUGAUUUUAAGUAUAACAUAUAAAAUUGCUCUCGAUUAAAGUAAAAUACCUAAUUUAAUGGGAGGGAUUCACUAAUAUUUAGGGUAAAAUUUAGGUAGUUUUACAUUAUAUAUUUAUAUUUUUUUUUAUGAUUAGUAUUUUAGUAAUUUAAUUAUUGAACUUAUCAAUACAAUAAUAUUUGUCAUACAUGUAAAAUUUUUAAUUAAUCUGAUAUCUCUAUCAUAUCGAUCUAAAAUAUUAUCUAUAUCUAUAUAUUUAAUGGUAGAAAGUUUUUGACAUAAAAUAAAUAACUAGAAAAUUUUAAAUUUGCCAAACUUGUCAUGCAUGAUUUACAUGAAUUGAACAUGAAAUACAACGGUUGAAUUAUUAAAGUAGUGAUCAUAUAAAAAUUACAAAAAUAUAUAAAACCACUUAAAUUUUACACCUAUUUAAAUUGCUAAUUACAAAACUUGGUAUUUCACUUGGAUGUGAUGGCUCUUGAAAAUUUACUAAUUUUUAUAUUUAGUGAAAUACAACCAACAUUUGAAAUUUGUAUCAUAUUUAAAAUUUUGAAAUUGAAAAUUAUAAUAAAUUAAUAAUACUAAUCUGCAUUCUCAUGCCAUUCAUAGAUUUAAUUGUUUAUAUAACUACUUUUUUUUUUUGGUUUAGUCAAUUGAUUACAAGAUAAGGCAUUGGGAUCAACCAACCCAACCAGUUCAACAAGUAAAACAACAAUAGCGAAACAAUGCCAAAACAUGAAAGAGUACAACAAUAAUCCCCCAACAAUGAAACCAAAAUGCUCCACACAAAAUUAACAACGAGAAACCAACAAAAAAUGAAUCCACCAUUGCACCAAUUGCUUGACAUGUGAUUUCGAUUAGUACCUUAGCCACAACCAAAAAUUACCUCCCAAAAACAAGAACAAGCUCCCAAAAUGACCACAAUUGAAUGCGACAAACAAGCAACCAAUCNNNNNNNNNNNNNNNNNNNNNNNNNNNNNNNNNNNNNNNNNNNNNNNNNNNNNNNNNNNNNNNNNNNNNNNNNNNNNNNNNNNNNNNNNNNNNNNNNNNNNNNNNNNNNNNNNNNNNNNNNNNNNNNNNNNNNNNNNNNNNNNNNNNNNNNNNNNNNNNNNNNNNNNNNNNNNNNNNNNNNNNNNNNNNNNNNNNNNNNNNNNNNNNNNNNNNNNNNNNNNNNNNNNNNNNNNNNNNNNNNNNNNNNNNNNNNNNNNNNNNNNNNNNNNNNNNNNNNNNNNNNNNNNNNNNNNNNNNNNNNNNNNNNNNNNNNNNNNNNNNNNNNNNNNNNNNNNNNNNNNNNNNNNNNNNNNNNNNNNNNNNNNNNNNNNNNNNNNNNNNNNNNNNNNNNNNNNNNNNNNNNNNNNNNNNNNNNNNNNNNNNNNNNNNNNNNNNNNNNNNNNNNNNNNNNNNNNNNNNNNNNNNNNNNNNNNNNNNNNNNNNNNNNNNNNNNNNNNNNNCAGACUCCGGCCCUCGCAAACCAGGCUCCGCCCACGCGCCACGCGCCGCCCUAAGGGCCACCGUAUUCAGAGAUCGAAGAGUUCGAAAAACUCUCGUCUCUUCAGAUCCAAAAACAGGUAGUUCUUUUCCUUCAAAAUACCCUUACUAUUUGCUAACAGUUCAUAUAUGUGCUAAAAAAUAAAGAAUAAGUCACUCGGUUAUCACCUUGAAACUGUUUGUUCUUUUUUUUAUUUCUAUAUUCCUGUUUGUAUAGAGGGUUACAAAGGGCUUUUUAUAGCCAUGUUUAUUACAAAAACUGGGAAAGAAAUCGAAAAUUUCUUUCUAUUUCUUGCUCACUGUGUCUUUGACCGUGAUCUGUUGAGAUUUUUAGUUUCCUUUUCUUGCUCUAUGUAUCUGCUGUGUUUCCUUUUCUUGCAGGUAUCCCGAUGAUCUCGGCGUUAACGACGGUACCAAGGCUAGAGGGGAAGCCUGAGAUCACGGUGCUGGACGGACGCCUUGAUGGCGCGUCAGUGUGCAUUGAUGGCCUCGAUCUGGGGAGUUGCACCGACGCUCCCCGAAGCUUCCAGAAGCUGUUGCGGCGCGAGGGGAAAGAGCUAGGGUUGAAAACCCUAGCUGAUAAUUUUGGGUUUUUUGGGCCUCUGUUAUUUGGGUCUUAGUUUAGGUUUGGGCUUCGAGUGUAUUUGGGCUAAGGUUGUAAUUGUAAUGGGUAUGGGUUAACGAGUCAAUGUAAAUGGACUUUUAUAUGGACAAUUAUUUAUUUAUUUAAUGGGUUUUACAGCCCGGUCAAAUUUGGGCUACUACAACCGGUUGAGACAACUAAUUGGAACAACCAACAAACAUAUGAUUUUUUUUUCAAAAUGUUUAAAGUUUUUAUAGUUUUGCAAAUGAAAUUUCUUAAUUGGAAUUCAACUAUAAAUAAGAAGACAUAAAAUUUAUAAAAUUGUUUAGUAUUAAAUGUUUUUUUGCACAACUCACGCACCGCUAAUAAAAGAAAAUCACCGCCACAUAUGCAUGCAUCCGUGAUAGGCAAUCACUGUGAUUCCAACCCACAAUGUGGAUAUAGGGUGAUUGCCCUUGGCUAAUAAACUAAAUAUUAGGGUUCGGUUAAUUAGUAAAUGCUAAUUCUAUUAAAAUUUAAAUUCUUUAAUUUUUAAUAUUAUAUAAAUUAAAUUUAUUUAUUUAAUAUUUAGACUAAUUUGAUCUAAUCAUAAUGAAUUUACUUGCCAUAUAAUAACAUGGCCAGAAGUACAAAGGAACAGAGAAAUCAUCAGAAAAGCACAAUUUAUUAAUUUAAAUUUCUUUAUAUAAUAUAUGCCCGAGGAAGGAAGCCUUUUAGUUUAGGACACUGCAAAUUGUAGGAUAUGCUAUAUAUAGACCAAUUAAUUUAUUUAGAUACAGGCAAUAUGCAAAGGGUAAGUAAAAGUAAGGAUGGCAUGAGUUUCAGAAUCCACCGCCUCGCGCGCCAGCACCUUCGCUUCCUCUUCCGUUAUAAACUAGCAGGUAUAGCAAGGGUAUGUUGGUGGAUAUUCUUGAUCAGUUUGGCCCCCUCCAAAUUUGGCAGCUUCUAGCUCAGCCUUUGUUUUUUGGGUAGCCGCCUUACCUGCAAAACUCGCAGCAUUAUCAACAUUCAUGUUAGGAUACAUUUCAAUUCAUGAAAUAUAAAUGAGAGGAGAUGAUAACUAAUUAAUUAAUUAAAAAGCCAUGUUGGCUGCUGACCGUUGUUUGUUUCAGUAAGGUCUCUAGCUGCCACUUCCGAAGAAAUGGAAAGAACAAUCACAGAUAAAACAGCAAGGAUGAGAAAACUCUUGCAAACCGAACCCAUUUUUGAUUUUUGUUUUUUAAAUCAAAGUGAACAAUCCUGGAUAAAAGUGUUUGGAGAGUUAAGAAUGCUUAAACAAAGGCAAUCUACGUCUCUAUUUAUACGCCCCAAUCAUCAACUUAUAUGCAUAGAUAAGAAAAUGUGUGAGCGUAAUUAAACAUAAAGAUUUGCCUGUCGACCACGCAAUGCAGCUGGCAGUUGAAGAGUCGCCAAACUAUUCAACUUGGACUUUGGAAAGUGAUUGGACCAAAAAGUGGAAGUAGCAAAGUUUAUGCCUCUCACUAACGUAACUCUACAUGAAUAUUAUUAAAUCACGAUUUGUGAUGGAUGUGGAAAUGCUCUCAUCUGAAAUUGCUAGUCACAAAACCGGUGAACCUCUAACAUCCGGGAUAGGCUACCAAGAAAAUGAGAUUGAGGGAGGAUGAUCCGCCAAAAACCGUGGUGGUUUAUGAUGGACCUCGUAUGUCCUUUCAACAUAAACUAGUGAAUGGAGAGAUAUAUGUUCUCGCAGGUUUCGAGCAUGGUAUCUGACUGUUGGAGGACGAUAUCAAAAAAAAGAUACUAUGAAGGGUGUCCCAUUGAUACGAUUCUCGGAUCGCCUCCACUUCUUGAUAGAAAAAAAAGUGUGAUCAAGACGGUGAUUUUUUUUAAAAAAAAUUGUCACAAAAUAGGUUUUAAUGCUCUUUAAAAUAAUACUUUCGUCUGAUGGAAGCCAUCCUUUAACUUUCAAUUAAUGAAUUUGGAGAACAACUACAUGGCAAAAUUUGCUCCGAUUGAGGAUUAUAAAGUGCUUGCAGGCGGGCUGUGAGUAAUAUUUGAGUAUUGUAUGACGGUUCAGACAUCAUAGUUUCCCGUAUCUAAAGACCGGUGGAAUGGAGAGAUCUACAAGACUUAGGUAACUCAAUAUUAAAUCAUGAUUUGUGUAUUUGUAUACUACUUAUAUAUUUUAUCAUAGGUUAAAUACGCUUUUUAAGUCCUUAUGCUUUUAUUUUGUGGAAUAUAAUUCCUCAUUUUUUUAUUUUAAAAAAUUUAGUCUAUUUAUUUUUUAAAUUUAAAAAUGUAAAUUCAGCCGUUAAUAAUGUUAAGAAUUUUUUAUUAAAUUUAAGUUUUUUAUAAAGUUAUUUUUUAUUGUAUGACUAUUAAUUUUAUUCUAUUUUAAAAUAUUACACGAACAAAUUUAAUAAAAACAAUUUAAUAAAAUUAACAAUUUAAUCCGAAAUUUUUUAAAAAAUAGAAACUAAAAGUAUUUUGAAAACUUGGUGGAUGGAAUGGAAAAAGGAGAAACAGAAAGAAUAUAAUUUUAAGAGCUCCUUGGUACAAUAAAAAAUGGAAUGAAAGAAAAUGAAAGGGAUGAGACUUCUUUCGCACCAUUUGUCCAAAUUGAGGGAAAGAAAAGUUUAAAUUAUGUGAUUUUAAGUAUAAACAUAUAAAAUUGCUCUCGAUUAAAGUAAAAUACCUAAUUUAAUGGGAGGGAUUCACUAAUAUUUAGGGUAAAAUUUAGGUAGUUUUACAUUAUAUAUUUAUAUUUUUUUUAUGAUUAGUAUUUUAGUAAUUUAAUUAUUGAACUUAUCAAUACAAUAAUAUUUGUCAUACAUGUAAAAUUUUUAAUUAAUCUGAUAUCUCUAUCAUAUCGAUCUAAAAUAUUAUCUAUAUCUAUAUAUUUAAUGGUAGAAAGUUUUUGACAUAAAAUAAAUAACUAGAAAAUUUUAAAUUUUGCCAAACUUGUCAUGCAUGAUUUACAUGAAUUGAACAUGAAAUACAACGGUUGAAUUAUUAAAGUAUUGAUCAUAUAAAAAAUUACAAAAAUAUAUAAAACCACUUAAAUUUUACACCUAUUUAAAUUGCUAAUUACAAAACUUGGUAUUUCACUUGGAUGUGAUGGCUCUUGAAAAUUUACUAAUUUUUAUAUUUAGUGAAAUACAACCAACAUUUGAAAUUUGUAUCAUAUUUAAAAUUUUGAAAUUGAAAAUUAUAAUAAAUUAAUAAUACUAAUCUGCAUUCUCAUGCCAUUCAUAGAUUUAAUUGUUUAUAUAACUACUUUUUUUUUUUGGUUUAGUCAAUUGAUUACAAGAUAAGGCAUUGGGAUCAACCAACCCAACCAGUUCAACAAGUAAAACAACAAUAGCGAAACAAUGCCAAAACAUGAAAGAGUACAACAAUAAUCCCCCAACAAUGAAACCAAAAUGCUCCACACAAAAUUAACAACGAGAAACCAACAAAAAAUGAAUCCACCAUUGCACCAAUUGCUUGACAUGUGAUUUCGAUUAGUACCUUAGCCACAACCAAAAAUUACCUCCCAAAAACAAGAACAACUCCCAAAAUGACCACAAUUGAAUGCGACAAACAAGCAACCAAUCUGACACAUUGAUUGAAUUGCAACCCAUUGUUAUUAAAACCUACUCCUUCCAAAUCAACACCUAACCCAUCACUGCAACCUCAUUACUUACCACAAUGAUCGCCCAAUCUUUGACCUCACCUGCACAAUAACCAGAUAAUAAAACCAGAAAACAACCCCAGCAGAAUAAAAAAGAACCCAACCCAGCCCAACCCAGACAAACCCAACCCCUCCUCCAUCCACGUAACAAUUCACCAUUCUUACAAUUCUAAUUACUCCAACUCAUACCUCGAAAGCAAAACCAACACACAAUGAACAUAAAAAUAACCGUGAGCAGUAAGCAAACCAAAAAAAUAUACAGAAAUCCUACUCCAAUUUAGACAACUGUUAACAUUAAUGGGAGACAACAUUAAUGGCAAACAAUACAAAGUGGUGCAAGUUUAGCACCCUAAAGUUGACUUUGAAAAAGUGGCAUGGGAUAAUUUUUUUUUGGUCCUUGAGAUAAUGGGCUAUUUAUUGUUUGGUCCUUAAACCUCAACUAUAAAUAGGCCUUCUCAUUUCUCAUUUCAAUUCAUCCCAACCAAUCUUUCUCUCUUAGUUUUCUCUCUUCUCCCAUUUGAGAAUUCUUAAGGAAUUCUAUUUGUUUGUAAUACUUUGGAGAUAGUAAAGUUAUCAUCUGGUGUUAGUGCCCGAGGACGUAGGUAUAAUUUACCGAACCUCGUUAAAUCUCUUGUGUUCUUUCUUGUCCUAUUUUUGUUUCAAUAUUUGAGGGUAUAAUAGUAGUAUUUAAUUGUGCUAUUAAAUUAUUAUAGAAGGGAUAUUCUGUCUAAGGAAAGACUUGGUAUUUAAGAGAUCUAUGUGAUCCACCUCUCUUCCCUGGGAAUUGAACUUUGUGUGAUUUUUUAGUACAAUAAUUUACACGCUUCUGACUCUAUUGAACAACAAGUGGUAUCAAGAGCCGAAGGUUAAUCGUAGUAUGCUCUGUGGUUGCAGUUUAAACUGAUCUUCCACAUCAGAAAAGAUUUCCUUAGGUAUAUUGAAAGAUUAUGGAGAAAACGGUCGGUGUAGGAGCUUCAACAUCGUCUAUAUGGAUAAGACCGACAAUUGCAAAUGCAAGAUUGGCCGUGGAGAUCUUUGAUGGCACGGGCCAUUUUGGUAUGUGGCAAAGUGAGGUUCUAGAUGCCCUUUUUCAGCAGGGUCUAGACAUUGCCAUUGAUGAAGAGAAACCAGAUGAUGUACAGGAGAAAGAUUAGAAGGCGAUCAAUCGGUUGGCAUGUGGCACAAUUCGAUCAUGCCUUUCUCGAGAGCAGAGGUAUGCUUUUUCAAAGGAGACUUCUGCAAAUAAGUUGUAGGUGGCACUUGAAGAAAAUUUUUUGAAGAAAAACAGUCAAAAUAAGCUCCACUUGAAGAAAAGACUGUUUCGCUUCACUUACGUCCCAAGUACCACAGUGAAUGAUCACAUCACCAAAUUUAAUUAGUUAGUCACUGAUUUGCUGAAUAUGGAUGAGACAUUCAAAGAUGAAGAUUUGGCUUUGAUGCUGUUGGGGUCACUUCCUGAGGAGUUUGAGUUCCUAGAAACUACUCUACUUCAUGGCAGGAGUGAUAUAUCUCUGAGCGAAGUCUGUGCGGCCUUAUACAGUUAUGAACAGAGAAAGAAGGACAAACAGAAAAACUCAAUCAGAGAUACAGAAGCUUUAGUAGUCCGAGGUCGUUCAUACACUCGGAAGAAAACUCAAAAGGGGAGAUCAAAGUCAAAGUCCAGACUCGGGAAAGAUGAAUGUGCUUUUUGUCAUGAGAAAGGCCACUGGAAGAAAAAUUGUCCAAAGCUGAAGAAUAAGGGAAAAGCUGCUGUAGAUGCUUGUGUUGCUAAGCAUGAUACUAGUGACUCUGAACUAUCACUGGUUGCAUCAUCAUCGUCGUUCCAUUCAGAUGAGUGGAUAUUGGAUUCGGGUUGUACCUAUCAUAUGCCCCUAACCGGGAGUGGUUCUCUGAUUUAGUAGAACUAAAUGGAGGAGUUGUUUAUAUGGGCAAUGACAAUGCCUGUAAAACUGUUGGGAUAGGUUCAAUCCAAUUAAAGAAUCAAGAUGGAUCAACCAGAGUUCUGACUGAUGUUCGGUACGUGCCCAGUUUGAAGAAAAAUCUCAUCUCAUUGGGAGCCUUGGAAUCCAAUGGUUCAGUUGUUACUAUGAGAGAUGGGAUUUUGAAAGUGACAUCUGGCGCACUUGUGAUAUUGAAGGGCAUCAGGAAAAAUAACUUGUAUUACUACCAAGGUAGUACAGUUAUUGGAGCAGUCGCUGCAGCUUCCGGCAACAAAGAAUUGGACUCAAUCCAGUUGUGGCAUAUGAAGUUGGGACAUGCCAGCGAAAAAUCCUUGCAAAUUCUGGCAAAGCAAGGAUUGUUGAAAGGUGCAAAGGCUUGCAAAUUAAAAUUUUGCGAGCAUUGUGUUCUGGGAAAGCAAAAGAGAGUGAAAUUCGGUACUGCUAUCCAUAAUACAAAAGGUAUUUUGGAAUAUGUUCACUCAGAUGUGUGGGGGCCUUCCAAGACACCUUCAUUGGGAGGAAAACACUACUUUGUUACUUUUGUUUGAUGACUUUUCCAGAAGAGUUUGGGUGUAUACCAUGAGAACUAAGGAUGAAGUGCUUAGAGUUUUUCUUAAAUGGAAAACUAUGAUCGGAAACCAGACUGGCAAGAAAAUCAAGCGGCUUAGGACGGACAAUGGAGGGGAAUAUAAAAGUGAUCCGUUCUUCGAUCUGUGCCAAGAGUAUGGUAUUGUUCGACACUUCACAGUUAGGGAUACACCACAGCAGAAUGGAUUGGUAGAGCGUAUGAAUCGAACAUUGCUGGAGAAAGUUCGAUGUAUGUUGUCCAAUGCUGGGUUGGGCAAGCAAUUUUGGGCUGAGGCUGUGACAUACACUGGCCAUCUUGUUAAUCAUUUGCCAUCAUCUGCAUUAGAAAGAAAAACUCCUAUGGAGGUAUGGUCUGGAAAAUCGGGUACAGAUUAUGAUUCCUUACAUGUGUUUGGAUCCACUGCAUAUUACCAUGUGAAGGAGUCAAAGUUAGAUCCGAGGGCAAAGAAAGUUCUCUUUAUGGGAAUCACUUCUGGAGUGAAGGGAUUUUGUCUUUGGUGCUUAAGCACAAAGAAAAUGAUCUGUAGCAGAGAUGUUACCUUUGAUGAAUCUGCCACAUUGAAAAAGGUAGCAGAUAAAGAUAUUCAGACGAGCAAUACUCCACAGCAGGUGGAGUGUACUCCAAAACAGGUGGAGUUUGAGCAGAUGGGGAUUUGCCCAGUUAAUAAGUCUAAUUCUCCAGCCACAAUGGAGGAAUUAGAGGUUGAAGAGGUUCUGACCCAAGAACCACUAAGUACACCAGAACCAGUUGCAGUUGCAAGGCCACGGAGAGAAAUUUGUAAACCUGCUCGAUUUACUGAUAUGGUGGCCUACGCCCUUCCCGUUGUUGAUGAUAUUCCUAUCACUUAUCAAGAAGCAAUGCAAAGCUUAGAAAGUGAUAAAUGGAAAAGCGCAAUGGAUGAAGAAAUGCAGUCUCUCCGGAAGAACAAUACUUGGGAGUUGGUGCAAUUACCGAAAGGUAAAAGGGCAAUCGGAUGCAAGUGGGUAUUCGAAAAGAAAGAUGGAUCUCCUAGCAAGAAGGAUAUUCGCUACAAGGCAAGAUUGGUAGCUAAAGGCUACGCUCAGAAGGAGGAAAUUGACUACAAUGAUGUAUUUUCCCCUGUUGUGAAGCAUUCCUCCAUUAGAAUUUUGUUGGCCUUGGUAGCACAGUUGAAUUUGGAGCUAGCUCAACUUGAUGUUAAGACGGCUUUCUUGCAUGGUGAGUUAGAAGAGGAGAUCUAUAUGACUCAGUCCGAAGAAUACACAAAUGCUGGUGGUAGAAAUUGGGUUUGUAAGCUGAACAAAUCGCUAUAUGGAUUGAAGCAAUCCCCGAGGCAGUGGUACAAGCGAUUUGAUAGCUUUAUGAGAAGGCAGAAGUACACAAGAAGCAAAUAUGAAAAUUGUGUAUAUUUGCAGAAGCUGCAUGACGGAUCUUUCAUUUAUCUACUCUUGUAUGUUGAUGAUAUGUUAAUCGCUUCGAAGAGCCAAAAUGAGAUAGAUAAGCUGAAGGCUCAGUUGAAUCAAGAGUUCGAGAUGAAAGAUCUAGGUGAGGCCAAGAAGAUUCUCGGCAUGGAGAUAAGUAGAGAUAGACCGAGAGGCAAGCUCUGUUUAAAUCAGAAGCAAUAUCUGAAAAAGGUAUUACAAUGUUUUGGUGUAAAUGAAAACACAAAACAUGUAAGUACCCCACUUGCUUCUCAUUUGAAACUUAGUGCUCAAUUAUCUCCGAAGACUGAAGAUGAAAGAGAAUAUAUGGCGAAAGUCCCAUAUUCUAAUGCAGUUGGGAGUUUGAUGUAUGCGAUGGUGUGUACGAGGCCUGACAUUUCACAAGCUGUUGGAGUUGUGAGCAGGUAUAUGCAUGAUCCUGGAAAAGGACAUUGGCAAGCUGUGAAAUGGAUUCUACGGUAUCUUCGAAAAACCGUAGAUGUUGGUUUAAUUUUUGAACAGGAUGAAGCACUAUGUCAGUUUGUAGUUGGAUAUGUUG